UACGAGGGGGGCAAAUGUUGUUCGGAAUCACUGGGCGUAAAGGGAGCGUAGGCGGGUUUUUAAGUCAGGUGUUUAAUCCCGGGGCCCAACCCCGGACCGGCACUUGAAACUGGGAAUCUUGAAUAGGGGAGAGGUCAGUGGAAUUGGAGAUGUAGCGGUGGAAUGCGUAGAGAUCUCCAAGAACACCAGUUGCGAAGGCGGCUGACUGGACCCAUAUUGACGCUGAGGCUCGAAAGCAUGGGGAGCAAACAGG
This 253-nucleotide ribosomal RNA is filed under the name uncultured bacterium. RNAcentral's name for it is "partial 16S ribosomal RNA". It matches the Rfam family "Bacterial small subunit ribosomal RNA", at positions 524 to 776 of the family's 1533-position model. The record is from RNAcentral.